This 253-nucleotide ribosomal RNA is filed under the name uncultured bacterium. Its description in RNAcentral is "partial 16S ribosomal RNA". It matches the Rfam family "Bacterial small subunit ribosomal RNA", at positions 524 to 776 of the family's 1533-position model. The record is from RNAcentral.
UACGGGGGGGGCAAGCGUUGUUCGAAAUUACUGGGCGUAAAGGGCUCGUAGGCGGCCAACUAAGUCAGACGUGAAAUCCCUCGGCUUAACCGGGGAACUGCAUCUGAUACUGGAUGGCUUGAGUUCGGGAGAGGGAUGCGGAAUUCCAGGUGUAGCGGUGAAAUGCGCAGAUAUCAGGAGGAACACCGAUGGCGAAGGCAGGUCUCUGGGCUGACACUGACGCUCAUGCACGAAAGCGUGGGGAGCAAACAGG